GACGUAGGGCGCGAGCGUUGUCCGGAUUUAUUGGGCGUAAAGAGCGCGCAGGCGGUCGUGCAAGUCGCGUGUGAAAGCCCCCGGCUCAACUGGGGAGGGUCACGCGAUACUGCUCGACUCGAAGGCAGGAGAGGGAAGUGGAAUUCCCGGUGUAGUGGUGAAAUGCGUAGAUAUCGGGAGGAACACCAGUGGCGAAGGCGACUUCCUGGCCUGUUCUUGACGCUGAGGCGCGAAAGCUAGGGUAGCAAACGGG
This 253-nucleotide ribosomal RNA is filed under the name uncultured bacterium. RNAcentral's name for it is "partial 16S ribosomal RNA". It matches the Rfam family "Bacterial small subunit ribosomal RNA", at positions 524 to 776 of the family's 1533-position model. The record is from RNAcentral.